This is a long non-coding RNA of Girardinichthys multiradiatus, 676 nucleotides long. RefSeq lists it as uncharacterized. NCBI's taxonomy places the organism in Eukaryota, Metazoa, Chordata, Actinopteri, Cyprinodontiformes, Goodeidae. The record is from RefSeq and is a predicted model, not a curated record. The transcript has 2 exons.
ACACACGAAGCAGCAAGUUUUCUCAGAUCUGAAUAAAAAGUUAAAAUGUUAUAUUCUGGAAAUCUGCAGUGGAUCUUAACAGAUCAGAUUGACAAUCCUGGUUAUUCGAAAUAAACAAUAAGAAGGUGAGUUUCAACAGUAGCAGAGCUUAGAAAUAGUCCAGUGCCCCCACCAUAAAGACUAAUUAUGUCUGACUCAUUUUGUAGAAAAGGUCGGGGUGUAGAGAGCAGACGUCAUGCCGGCGUGUUCAGUUUUAUAACUCAAACACACUACGCCUUCAUACCAAAAAGCUGCAUGCUGGCAAGACUAGUCUCCAUCCUCACUCCAGUUUUUGAAUUGGAUCACUGCGCUUCAGCCGGUGUUGGGGAGUGUCUGUAAACACACGUCGGCAGUUCUGGACCUCUUCACGUAUUUACUGGGAAUGUGAUUCAGCCAAGAGAAGCCGAGCAUAUCUGCUCUGCUGAUUGGCUUCCUCUGUGGAGCGUCAUCAAUGAUCCAUGAAGAGGCUGAUGAGAGAGGAGUUCAGUGCUCUGUCCUUUGCCUGCUCUAUAUAUGCAGAGAAUACAGCUGUGGAAUAAAAUUAGGACACAUUCAGUUCGUUUAAAAGAAAUGUUUACAUACUGAUCUCUACUCUUAAUUUAUCUGUGGAAAAGAAAUAAAGUUGACCUAUAAUUAA